UUCGGUGGUUAUGGCGAGGGGGAAACACCCGGUCCCAUCCCGAACCCGGUAGUUAAGCCCCUCAGCGCCGAUGGUACUGCAUGGGAGACUGUGUGGGAGAGUAGGACGCCGCCGGAC
Molecule: ribosomal RNA, 117 nt
Filed under: Actinomadura rupiterrae
Lineage: Bacteria; Bacillati; Actinomycetota; Actinomycetes; Streptosporangiales; Thermomonosporaceae
Also listed under: 4 other names
Source: RNAcentral